Molecule: ribosomal RNA, 497 nt
Filed under: uncultured bacterium
Lineage: Bacteria
Description: partial 16S ribosomal RNA
Rfam family: Bacterial small subunit ribosomal RNA
Source: RNAcentral
GUUGAACGCUGGCGGCGUGCCUUAUACAUGCAAGUCGAGCGACCGCACGAGUGCUUUGCUUUUCUGAUGUUUGCCGCGGAGGGGUGAGUUACAUGUGGAUAUCUCCUGUAUAAGACUGUGAUACCUCCGGGACACCGUUGCUACUACCUGCUAAUAUUGUGAAACGCAUGGUUCAAUUCUGAACUACGGUCUUGCUGUUACUCAUUGAUUGAUCCGCGCUGGAUUAGCUAGUUGGUAUGGUAACGGCCUACCAAGGCGACGAUGAAUAGCCGACCUGAGAGGGUGAUCAGCCACACUGGAACUGAGACACGGUCCAGACUCCUACGGGAGGCAGCAGUAGGGAAUCUUCGGCAAUGGGCGAAAGCCUGACGGAGCAACGCCGCGUGAGUGAUGAAGGUCUUCGGAUCGUAAAACACUGUUAUUAGGGAAGAAAAUAUGUGUAAGAAAAUGGGCGGAGGAUGACGGUACCGGAUCAGAAAGCCACGGCUAACUACGUG